RNAcentral lists this ribosomal RNA (467 nucleotides) under uncultured bacterium. Its description in RNAcentral is "partial 16S ribosomal RNA". It matches the Rfam family "Bacterial small subunit ribosomal RNA", at positions 28 to 507 of the family's 1533-position model. The record is from RNAcentral.
GAUGAACGCUGGCGGCGUGCUUAACACAUGCAAGUCGAACGAUGAAGCCCAGCUUGCUGGGUGGAUUAGUGGCGAACGGGUGAGUAACACGUGAGUAACCUGCCCUUGACUCUGGGAUAAGCCUGGGAAACUGGGUCUAAUACCGGAUACGACCAUUGCCCGCAUGGGUUGGUGGUGGAAAGCUUUUGUGGUUUUGGAUGGACUCGCGGCCUAUCAGCUUGUUGGUGAGGUAAUGGCUCACCAAGGCGACGACGGGUAGCCGGCCUGAGAGGGUGACCGGCCACACUGGGACUGAGACACGGCCCAGACUCCUACGGGAGGCAGCAGUGGGGAAUAUUGCACAAUGGGCGAAAGCCUGAUGCAGCGACGCCGCGUGAGGGAUGACGGCCUUCGGGUUGUAAACCUCUUUCAGUAGGGAAGAAGUGAGAGUGACGGUACCUGCAGAAGAAGCGCCGGCUAACUACGUG